ACUCCUCCUCACAGAAAAACAAAGAAAAGUUGUCUGAAAAUGACAAAGAAGAAAAACAAAAAUGACUCUUUUUUUUUCUUUUUCUUGCUUUACCUCAGUUUUUCCUCAUUUCGAUGCUGCAGGAACCGUCAAAACAAUUUGAAGCUCCAUUACUUUCAGCAGCGGAGACACUAAUUUGUGCACUUCGUACGAGUGCAACACUAGAACGGAGCCGGCUUCUCAUUUCGGCUUCGAACUGACCCCGUCCCCCCGCCCCCAGCGCUCGUCCUUGAUCUGCUCGUAGCGCUUCUUCCAAAAAAAGAAAAAGAAAGGACUUGAUACAUUUUAUCUCCUCAACCGUUGGACUUUCUGCAGCAGACGGACUCGAGCAGCCACAAAAAGAAGUAUUUCGGCAACUUGGGAGCAAAACACCCACACGGUGAAUCAAUCAUCUGCCAAUCAGCCAACCGGGAAGCAGAGGGAGGGAGGAAGGGGGUGGAGGGUGGAGGCUGGACGGUGGUCCCUCCUGGAAAUGUUCAGAUGUUUAUGCCUACAGGCUUUGUGUGCGUGCGCGUGUGUGUGCGUGUGUGUGCGUGCGUGUGUGUGUGUGUGUGUGUGUGUGUGUGUGUGUGUGUGUGUGUGUGUGAGAGAUCUCAACUCAACCGAACCGGGUGAAGCACAUUGAUUCACAGUAAUUGCAGUCAUGUAAAAAGAAACGGUUCAUUCCCAGUUUUCUAUUUAUAGUCACUGUUUUCACUAGUUGUCUUCACCAUUAUGUAAUUCUAAAUCAUCCUCCUCAUCAUGCUCUCUGGGAUCCAGUAGUUUUCUUUCACGGUGCGUCCGAAAGGCAUCCGACACGAGGACAGCUCUACGGUUUCUCCUGUAUGUGUUACAUCUCCAUAUACUCUCUUCUCUGUGUUCUUAUUGCUAUUAUUAUAUUAUUAUUUGCCUUUUUGGUUCCAAAGAUUUCCUAAAGAAAGCACAUUUUUGGUCCUGAUAUAUUUCUUAUUUCUAUGGUUGUCUUUUUCUUUUCUUUUUUUUUUUUUUUUUUUUUCAAAUCUGUGGGCUGAAGCUGUGUUGUGCAGUCGGCUGUCGCAGCAGAACCCUGGGAAACGUCUUUGAAGCUGCAGCCGACGCACAGUUUGGGAAUUCGGACCCGCGGGCGCCAGUGUUUCCGUUAAGGUUUCCAGAAGCGCCUUUUCUGUCUCUCGCUUCUGGAAGCCGCUGUGCAAAGGUGGACGGAAGGAGCGGGAGAUCGUGCCGACGACACAUUUAACGCCGCCGGCUCGCUAAUUUAUUACCUUUACUCCUUGUAGCUGCAGAAGCGUUUUUGUUACAGGCGAGGGAAAUCAGCGCAGAUGCACAGAAAGACACCGGAGGACGGCUGGCGAACGGCGUUUCCCAGCAGGGACGCAUUACACCGUAAAUUGUGGGAGGAGGAGGGGAGGGGGGGUCCCACGCAAUGUCAGGAGGGCCCGGCGGCCCAGCGGUGGCCACCUUUCCAACAAUGAAACGAUGCGUGGGCGGCGAGCGGUGGGACUUUGGUGAAGGUGAGACGCUGAGCCAUUAAUCAUGAGCUGACAGAGUAACAGCCCCCCCCCCAUGUCCUUCUCUCCCAUUCUCGGUUCUUUCUCCAGGAGUGAGGAGAUUUUGUAUGAUUGUGAAAUGGAGUGCAGUAGGUCCAUUGAGUAUUUCUUUGACGAGCAUUACCUCUUUUUUUUUCUUUUUUUUUUUUGUUGUCGUCUUAUUAUUCCUUACAAGUAUUAUCAGAAGUGUUGCUAUGCAUGCCUGUGAGAGCGAGGAAGGCUGACAGAGAGAGAGAGAGAC
Molecule: long non-coding RNA, 1806 nt
Organism: Salarias fasciatus (jewelled blenny)
Lineage: Eukaryota; Metazoa; Chordata; Actinopteri; Blenniiformes; Blenniidae
Exons: 3
Source: RefSeq, a predicted model, not a curated record